Nothobranchius furzeri (turquoise killifish) is the source of this 520-nucleotide non-coding RNA. Lineage: Eukaryota; Metazoa; Chordata; Actinopteri; Cyprinodontiformes; Nothobranchiidae. The record is from RefSeq and is a predicted model, not a curated record.
UUUAAAGUGCAUGUCAAGUGUGCCUCAGAGUCUUACCCCACCCACGUAUCAAUUUUGAAAACUGCAACAUUAGUAGGCGUUGCCUGGAGGACCGAGAGGGCGGAGCCGCGGCAGUGACGAAGAGACGGCUAACUAGACGAAGCUAGCUCCCUUCACUCUGAGCAGUCAUUAGAAGUGGAGGACGUUUCUCCCCCUCCUUACCCAGACACUCGAGAAGAAAGGGACCAAGUCUAUUUGGAGGAGACAAGCGGACAUGAGCCUUAUUGUUUUGAGCUUGUGAGUUGCCUGAAAUUACUGGAACCGACCCAACAGACCCAUCUCUGAACGUGAUCCUCUGGUGUCUGCAGCUGAUCUCCUGCUGAUGUCGUCGGGAUCAGGAGCUUCCAGAAGAAUGUGCCUUUCAAUGACUCUUUCCCCCUUAUUUGUUAUAUUAAUUAAAUAAAUCUCAAUUUAUAUAUUUCCUGUUUUUGUUCAUGUCCAUAAAUACUUAAACAUGCUUGAAAUUAAAACGAGCUUUUAA